This is a long non-coding RNA of Lynx canadensis (Canada lynx), 2780 nucleotides long. RefSeq lists it as uncharacterized. NCBI's taxonomy places the organism in Eukaryota, Metazoa, Chordata, Mammalia, Carnivora, Felidae. The record is from RefSeq and is a predicted model, not a curated record. The transcript has 5 exons.
GCCCGCCCGUCCGCCCCGCCCCGGUCGGCCCCACCCCUCCUCCUCGUGCGCCCGCCCGCCCCAAACUCUGGCAAACAAAACGCACCAUUCACAACUCUGCGACCGGAGCCGCGCAUGCGCCGCCCACCCGCUUGCGGGGCGGCUGGACUGCAGCGAGCCAGAGGUGCGGCCCUCUCACCCUUGCGGGCCCGCGGUUUCCUCUGUGUAGAACUGCUCUGCGGACAUCUGCCCGGACCUUGGAGAGAGGGAGCCGCUCGCGCGGUUCCUUUCUGUCGACUGUAUGAAACUUUGGGGCUUCUCAGCUGCUUGGAGUGACCCCAGAUUGUCACCUGAACCAAACUAAACUGAACCAAAAAAAACCUAUGGGACAGGCUGCGGUAUGCCCAGGUCGAGUUGCAGGAGAGGCCAGAGUGAGGAGUCUGGAUGUAGCACCAAGACCUACACCAAUGGACGAGCGAGGAUGGAGUAUGGAUAUCCUGAGGUCCCUUCUGAGAUAAUGAAGAAAAAAGCCAGGUCCUUAAUGCUGGUAUAGUCUCAUCCAAAAGGCCAUCUUCUCCUCCUUGAGCUUCACACCCACCCUCGUGAUGAAAUCCAACUGCAGCUCUCACUGCUCCGGGACUGCAGGAUGUACCCAAGCACUUGGACAUUCCCAGAAGAGCCAAUGGGAUCUGAUCUCAUGCACAGUACUACCCAAGAGGAAUCCUCUGCUACUCCCGCUGGGGUGGGCACCCCUCCUAUUGACUUACAAAAGGAAACCCAGGAUGCCGAGCCUGUGCUGCAGAAGGACGAGCACCACUUUCUCGCGAGAGGCCAGCUGCGUGCCAUCGUACGUGGAAGCGGAGCCCACGAGGAAGGCACCUCCUGGGAACCAGACCAUCACCUGGACAUGGAAAGCGGAGGCCUGAGCUGGGCGGUGGGGUGCCUGAGUGGGAUGGUGCGUGGAAGAGGAUGAAUACUCACCGGCAACGGAGCAUCCCCACGCGCGCGCACUGGAGCGUACACGUUCAGGUACAGACAGUCCUCACUGAAGCGCAGCCACUUGUACUGUUUCCGCGUGUUGAAGUACAUGGAGGUGAUCUGUCCCCAGGACUCCUGAAGGCACCUGCGGUCACGAUGUGAGUUUGGGCCCAACGUGGUGGCCAAAAACGGGAGAAUGGUUGCAAACCCAGGUUCCGCAAUUGAGGAAAUAGAACCAAAAGCAAAAUUUAGGAUGCGCGCGCGUGCGUGUGUGUAUCUGUGUCCGAAUAGCCUCCACUAGCAUUAGGGUCCAGGGUGAGUGCAGCGCCAGGUCAGACCCAGGGCAAGAUCCACCCCUCUGUCUUGCCCCCGGUCCCAGGAAUCUGCCUGGGGAGAGGUUCCAUGCUUCUGUUGGAGACCCUUUUGGUGCUGUCAAGCCAGAAACCUGGGUGUCCUGGGAUUUCAUGCCCCCGUCCUUCAGGCUCUUUUCUGUCUCCCAAACAGCUCUUAAAUAGGCCUUCUCCAUCCCAGAGAUGCUGCCUUGUAAAGGCCAUUACCUACACUGGCCAGGACACUGCCCCAGCCUCUUUGACAUCGCUUCCAACUCAUCCUCCACACCCUGACCGGAGGGAUUGACAGAAAACAAAAACCUAUUUCACUUCCCUCCUUAAAACCUUCCUGGGCCCCCCUGCGCUCAGGAUAAGGUCCAGAUUCACCCAUACUGACGCAGGCCCUCUCCAUCUAGUCUUCCUGGCACUCUUUGCUCUAGAUGCCCACGGACCCUGCCUUGUCUCCCAUCUCUAAGCCCUUUUGCUUAUGUCCCUUUCUGCCUAAUGUUUUCUCUGCCUGGCAAACUCCUGCUUAUGUUUAAGGCUCAGCUAAAGUGGCGCCCCCUCUGCUGGGCACUUCCUGUCUGUGCUUCCCAAAGUUCUAUCCACGCUGAUUAUAGUGCUGGGUUAGAGUUGUUUCGAUUGGUUUGGUUGUUAUUCUCCCCAAGCAACCAUGCACUCCCUAGGGGCAGGGAUGGAUGUGGAUUUGUCUGAGUCCUGGCACUCAGCCCAGUGCCUUGUACCAUGUGAACAUUUGGUGUACUUGUGGAGCUUGGGCUGUUGGGCCACCUCAUCCUUUCUCCCUGCUGUCCCAGCCUGGAGUGUGGCUAUUGCCAAUAGUUGGGGCUGGGCCCAUCUGACUGGCUGCAGGAAAGCCUGUCUAUUCUACUCCUUUCUCCACUUGUUCCCUUGCUGCUCUGGCCUGAAGCUAGUCAUUAUCCAAACUGGCCACUAGUCUUCUUGUCUCCUUAACUACCAUCCCACAGUCUGUUGUAAGCCAUCCACAAAUUCUUCUACCUGUCACUCUGUGUUCCAAACAGCUAUUGUCUGACAGCUCAUGGCCAACGUUCCAACAAUUGACACCUGGACUUCUAUGCAAUGGGCACCCCAAUCUCUAAACCCCUGAUCCUCGGGGCUCUAAUAAUGGUCAUCCCCUGUUCUGUCACCUGUUCCAUGGGAUUCCACAUAACAAUCACAGAAGGUUCAGAUGUCUUGGUUUCUCUCACUGGUGGUCAGUGUUCUAAAAACUAACACCCCAGUGUUCUACUAAUAGCCAUUCAUGUUCUAACAGUGGAUGCCCUGUUCUCAACAGUUAGACACCCUGGGUGGUGGUUAUAGUUUUUAGAUAUCAACUGACACCCAGGUUCUCACAGUAGACAUUUUUCUAAACCCAGUGCUGUAUCCAACUAAUUGUUAAUGAUUGCCACAGAAUAUUCUGCUCAGUGGGUUACUCAAUGAUCUGAAUAAAUAAUAAAUACACUUGUUCUGGGUAAA